Mya arenaria is the source of this 1694-nucleotide long non-coding RNA. RefSeq lists it as uncharacterized. The record is from RefSeq and is a predicted model, not a curated record. The transcript has 3 exons. Lineage: Eukaryota; Metazoa; Mollusca; Bivalvia; Myida; Myidae.
AUUUGAGUCAUUACAGUAAAACAUGGAUUAUAAGUGAAUUAUACGCGUAAGAGAAGAUUUUCUGUCGAAAAAACUAAUGUCAACAAUCAGCAUGGAAUUGGGAUAUUCGUAUCAAAGGGCUAUUCAUGCAGGAAAAGGACUGAAUAUUACUAUUAUAUGAAGAAUUCCAGCCUGCAUUAAAUACUUUGUUGGAUCAUUGAGACAGAUUUGACAUCCAUGUCUAUCCACAUCUGAUAGAGAUGAUCACUAAACAUUCUAGAUGGGUAAAGACCUGUUAAAUCAGCAUUGACUCAGCAUUGAGUAAUUUUCAUCUGUGCAGACACUACAAGUACAAACGCAUGGGAAUAAACCAAACUUCAAAUGUUGAAGAGUGAAGAAUUAUUGUGAAAAGUUCUAAAUGUUAGAAUACCAUUGACUAAAUAAAACAAAUAGACAUCGAUUACCAACAGAGACUGUUUACAUGUUAUAAUAUUCAAAAGACAUUAGUUGAGAACUUUCACUCUGACAUUUUUGGAGGGGCAUUACCGCCUACUUAGUGUUCUUGUUUCUUUACAUAUUUUAAUUUAAAAGUACAUUCAUUGUUUUUAAAUCUGAAUUCUGAGUUAGUAUCAUAAGUAAAAUUCAUUUAUUUGAAUGAUUACAUUUUAUGAAUAAGUCCAAUUGAGCUUUUUACAAGAAAAAGGUUGAUUUUUAAGCAUUUUAUUAGUUAUAAAAAUGUAUAGUUACAUGACAUUAUGUAUAUUUUCUUCAAAACUGAACGGUAAACUAUCAUAAAUUGUCUUUUGAAUUGUUCAUUAGACAUCAUAGAAAAUAUUUAAAUGAUUUCAGCAGGUUGUCUUAUUAUUAACUAUUUUUUUAUGAAUUUAUACAACUGCUAUAUAUUUUCAAACAUCGAAAUACUGCUCUGUUCCGAAGACUCACAAGAUCAAUCAAAAUGAUUUUUUUUCCAUGUGUAUCAAUAAUAUGUUCGGUUGAACGUAACUUUUCUGUUAACUGAAGUUUAUUUUACCAGAAACUGUUGUGUUUAUUUCAUAAUCUCUGAUAAUGUGAAAAAAAAAUCAAAUAAAGACAAAAUAUUUUUAAUUAACAGUAAAAAAUCUUCAAAAUUUGGAUAAAAGUCCCAUAACGUACCAUGAUAAUAACUAUGUUGUCCGUAAAAGCUUUAUAAAAGUGUGUAUUACUUAUACCUUAAUUCAGUUCAAAUAAUUAUGGCCUUUAAGGAUUUGUGUUUUCAUAAUAUAGAUUUCCUGUUAUAUUGAGCUUUGUCAAUUUGUGUUGAUGUUUUGUUUUAUGUACAAUUACUACUUCUAUUUCCUAACUUUUGUCUCAUUUGUCAAAUUGAAUUGUUACAUAUUUAAGUGAAAACACACACACACUAUUUUUAAAGAUGCACUCUUACUCCCCAAUAAGACUUAUGAUAAUUAAUAUUAUUGUUUUCAUUUUUCAAAAUGGGUUGAUAGAUGUCAACAACAAUGUUUCUAAUGAAGGAUCUUGAGUUCAAUUUGCUAAUAAGAAUGAACUUAAAACAUGGUAUUUCUGCCGUGUGAUACUAUAGUAGACCACAGUAAAUCUUUUAGCAAUCACCAAUUGAUCAUUUAAUAUUUGUCAUGCAUUCUGCUAUUAUAAACAGGGUGACAAGCUUGUUAUCAGUAAACGAUAUUUCAGUAAAUGCAUUAUUUAGUAAGUAGUUAUUG